This is a long non-coding RNA of Callithrix jacchus (white-tufted-ear marmoset), 1285 nucleotides long. RefSeq lists it as uncharacterized. The record is from RefSeq and is a predicted model, not a curated record. Lineage: Eukaryota; Metazoa; Chordata; Mammalia; Primates; Cebidae.
CAUCAGUCUAAAAGUAGUAUGACUGAGAAGAUAUUUUCCUCACUUAUUAAAAAGAUGAACAUAUGUGAUGGAAUCUAAAAUCUAUUUAUUCAUCUAGAGGAAAAAAUGGUAGAGAAUAGUCAGAAAAAUCCUUUAAAAGAAAGAGUGAUAGGGAUAGGAGCUAAUCUGCCCUUCUACAGAUUUAAAAAUCUUGGCCAGCACGGUGGCUCAUGCCUGUAAUCCCAGCACUCUGGGAGGCCAAGGCAGGCAGAUCACCUGAUGUCAGGAGUUCAAGACCAGCCUGGCCAACAUGAUGAAACCCCUCUCUACAGAAAUACAAAAAUUAGCAAGGCAUGAUGGCAGGUGCCUGUAAUCCUAUCUAUUUGGGAGACUGAAGCAGAAGAAUCACUUGAACCCUGGAGGUGGAGGUUGCAGUGAGCCAAGAUUGCACCAUUGCACUCUAGUCUGGGCAACAGUUCAAUACUCUAUCUCUCUCUCUCUGUCUCCUCUCUCUCUCUCUCUCUCUCUCUCUCUCUCUCUCUCUCUCUCUCUCUCUGUAUAUAUGUGUAUGUAUCACAGAAUGAUAGUAAUUUAAGUGACAUACUGUUAGGAAGCAGAUACACAAUUUUUGAAUGACCAAAUACCAGGAACAAUAUGUUUGACAUUUAUCAUCUAUAUAGUUGAAUCUUCACAGUUAUCCCAUUUGACACUGAGGAAAUUGAUCCUUAGAAAAUAUAACUAGCUCGGGGUGGUAGAUAUUAUUAUUUGCUUACAGUUCUUCAUUAUUUUGUCCUUGACAAGCCUUCUCUGUGGAGACAAUGCACUCUCCUUUCCCAUUCACUUAGGGUAGAUUGGGUGAUCUUCAGACCAAUGGAGUGUGGAUGGAAGAAAGAAUGUGUUGGAGAUGAGGUUUAAGACUAUGCUCCUGGCAACCAUCAUUCUACUUGAUGUCUCUAUAAUCUGACUACUUUAGGUACCUCAGAUGAAUGGAAUUAUGCAGUAUUUGUCCUUUUGUGUGUACGACUAAUUUGACAGGCAGUAUGAUAAGGAACAAUCUGAAUGACAUGUAAACAGGAGGGGGUAAAUUCCAAGCACAGCCUGAAUGAGAAGUACAACUCAUUUCCCAAAACCCAGAUGCGUUUUGAACACAUCUCUGCAGUCUCCAUGUGAAACCAGGAGCUGUUCCCAAAGGAGAAAACACUGCCCUCCAGUGGUCUUCAAUGAAGAAAUGGAAAUAGUUUCAGGUGGAAACCAGGCUUCUUGGAAGACUUCAAACUAUGCCAAAUGGUCUGAUUUCACCAUAGAG